RNAcentral lists this ribosomal RNA (1504 nucleotides) under metagenome. RNAcentral's name for it is "bacterial LSU rRNA". It matches the Rfam family "Bacterial large subunit ribosomal RNA", at positions 1278 to 2910 of the family's 2925-position model. The record is from RNAcentral.
CAGAUCUCAAGCGAGAAUGUUGACAUGAGUAGCGAUAAAGAGGGUGAGAGACCCUCUCGCCGUAAGUCCAAGGGUUCCUGCUUAAAGCUAAUCUGAGCAGGGUAAGCCGGCCCCUAAGGCGAGGCCGAAAGGCGUAGUCGAUGGGAACCACGUUAAUAUUCGUGGGCCAGGAGGAAGUGACGGAUCUCGAAGAUUGUCUGCCCUUAUCGGAUUGGGUGGGCCGUUCAGAGGUUCCAGGAAAUAGCCCUCCAUCAGACCGUACCCUAAACCGACACAGGUGGACUGGUAGAGUAUACCAAGGCGCUUGAGAGAACCACAUUUAAGGAACUCGGCAAAAUGCCUCCGUAAGUUCGCGAGAAGGAGGCCCCGUCUGUAGGCAACUAUGGGCGGGGGGCACAAACUAGGGGGUGGCGACUGUUUACUUAAAACACAGGGCUGUGCGAAGCCGUAAGGCGACGUAUACAGUCUGACGCCUGCCCGGUGCUGGAAGAUUAAGAGGAGGGGUGCAAGCUCUGAAUUGAAGUCCCAGUAAACGGCGGCCGUAACAAUAACGGUCCUAAGGUAGCGAAAUUCCUUGUCGGGUAAGUUCCGACCUGCACGAAUGGCGUAACGAUCUCCCCGCUGUCUCAAAUGUGGACUCAGCGAAAUUGAACUGUGUGUCAAGAUGCACACUACCCGCGGUUAGACGGAAAGACCCCAUGCACCUUUACUCCAGCUUUGCACUGGUAUCAGGAUUGUGAUGUGCAGGAUAGGUGGUAGGCAUCGAAGCGGGGACGCCAGUUCUCGUGGAGCCUCCCUUGAGAUACCACCCUUCGCCAUCUUGAUAUCUAACCGCGGCCCGUUAUCCGGGUCCGGGACCCUGCAUGGUGGGGAGUUUGACUGGGGCGGUCGCCUCCCAAAUCGUAACGGAGGCGCGCGAAGGUAGGCUCAGACCGGUCGGAAAUCGGUCGUUGGGUGCAAUGGCAGAAGCCUGCCUGACUGCAAGACUGACAAGUCGAGCAGAGACGAAAGUCGGUCAUAGUGAUCCGGUGGUCCCAAGUGGGAGGGCCAUCGCUCAACGGAUAAAAGGUACGCUGGGGAUAACAGGCUGAUGAUGCCCAAGAGUCCAUAUCGACGGCAUCGUUUGGCACCUCGAUGUCGGCUCAUCUCAUCCUGGGGCUGGAGCAGGUCCCAAGGGUACGGCUGUUCGCCGUUUAAAGGGGUACGUGAGCUGGGUUUAGAACGUCGUGAGACAGCUCGGUCCCUAUCUGCCGUGGGUGUAGGAGACUUGAGAAGAGUUGCCCCUAGUACGAGAGGACCGGGGUGAACGGACCACUGGUGGACCAGUUAUCGUGCCAACGGUAGUGCUGGGUAGCUAUGUUCGGACAGGAUAACCGCUGAAGGCAUCUAAGCGGGAAGCCCCCUUCAAAACAAGGUCUCCCUUGAGAGCCGUGGAAGACCACCACGUCGAUAGGCCAGAGGUGUAAGUGCAGCAAUGCAUUCAGCUGACUGGUACUAAUUGCUC